CUUGAUCGACCCAAGGCGGACCGGCCGGUCGGCGGCCCGGCCGCUGCCGUACGUCGCGAGGAUCGCCUGCGCCUC
RNAcentral lists this antisense RNA (75 nucleotides) under Pseudofrankia inefficax. RNAcentral's name for it is "Frankia sp. EuI1c ASpks TB sRNA". It matches the Rfam family "ASpks TB sRNA". Lineage: Bacteria; Bacillati; Actinomycetota; Actinomycetes; Frankiales; Frankiaceae. The record is from Rfam by way of RNAcentral.